GAGACUCUGUGCGCGUGCAUAUCAAUAAGCGGAGGAAAAGAAACUAACAAGGAUUCCCCUAGUAACGGCGAGUGAAGCGGGAAGAGCUCAAAUUUGAAAUCUUAAAGGUUUCUACCUUGACGAAUUGUAGUUUAAUAGAAGUGUUUUCUGUUAGGAGUUCGGUAAAAGUUCUUUGGAAUAGGACAUCAUAGAGGGUGAGAAUCCCGUAUUUGACCGUUACUUUCUCAGCUGUGUGAUACACUUUCAAAGAGUCGGAUUGUUUGGGAAUGCAGUCCAAAAUGGGUGGUAAAUUUCAUCUAAAGCUAAAUAUUGGCGAGAGACCGAUAGCGAACAAGUACCGUGAGGGAAAGAUGAAAGGAGCUUUGAAAAGAGAGUUAAACAGUACGUGAAAUUGUCAAAAGGGAAGCGUUUGACACCAGUGUUGUUUAGUUGAAAAUCAAUUCAAUAAUUUUUGAUUUUAAGUAGUAUUGACUUCAUCAGCUUGCUGCUUUCUUUUCAGGAAUUAUUGAAUGCACUUUUCAGUUAACAAGUCAACAUCAAUUUCUUUUGUUGUAAAAGGGUAAGAGGAAGGUGGCUUACGCUUCGGCGUAAGUGUUUAUAGCCUUUUACCUCUGCAAUCGGAGAGAUUGAGGACAGCAGCGUAGACUCUUCGGGGUUAGAUACACUUGUGCUAAGCUAUAGCCUUGUAUAGACAACUUGUUGACUAUGCUCAGUCAUGUAGCUUACUCGCUUGUGCUAUUUUACCUACGCUUAGGAUGUUGACAGCAGUAUAGACUGU
RNAcentral lists this ribosomal RNA (778 nucleotides) under uncultured Neocallimastigales. Its description in RNAcentral is "partial large subunit ribosomal RNA". It matches the Rfam family "Eukaryotic large subunit ribosomal RNA", at positions 23 to 638 of the family's 3401-position model. Lineage: Eukaryota; Fungi; Neocallimastigomycota; Neocallimastigomycetes; Neocallimastigales. The record is from RNAcentral.